RNAcentral lists this transfer RNA (73 nucleotides) under Entomophthora muscae. Its description in RNAcentral is "tRNA-Lys". It matches the Rfam family "tRNA". Rfam says of the family: Transfer RNA (tRNA) molecules are approximately 80 nucleotides in length. The record is from RNAcentral. RNAcentral also lists the same sequence under 1 other name. Lineage: Eukaryota; Fungi; Entomophthoromycota; Entomophthoromycetes; Entomophthorales; Entomophthoraceae.
GCCUUGUUAGCUCAGUCGGUAGAGCAUGAGACUUUUAAUCUCAGGGUCACGGGUUCGAGCCCCGUACAAGGCU